RNAcentral lists this unclassified non-coding RNA (351 nucleotides) under Hevea brasiliensis (rubber tree). Lineage: Eukaryota; Viridiplantae; Streptophyta; Magnoliopsida; Malpighiales; Euphorbiaceae. The record is from RNAcentral.
UCGUAGUCCAAUUUAAGCUAUUUUUUAGAAAUCAAAACAUAAUUUAACAAAGACAAAUCUUGAACGAUCUGGCGAGACCCUUCUUGUGCAAAUUUCCAGAAUCUCGAGCCACGUCGGAGCUUUUCACUUGGCAAGAGUUGUAGUUUGCCAGAGAUGCUAGCUGCUGGUUCAUUUGGAUACUGCUACUGUUUUGCUAGCCGGAGAAUACAAGAGCUGAGACGACGGGGAGAGAAAGAUCUAGUCCAUUGUUCUCCUUUGGCUGAGCUGCUGCUUUCCAGAGCUCGCCUGUGAUUGAUGGAGCAGCUGGGUGCCACUGUCGUUUACUGGAGAAACGAGAGGGAAGAGAGAGAG